AUCCAGCUGACAAGUCCCAAAUAGGACGAAAUGCACAUCCUCAAU
This 45-nucleotide non-coding RNA is filed under the name Trichobilharzia regenti. The record is from RNAcentral. Lineage: Eukaryota; Metazoa; Platyhelminthes; Trematoda; Strigeidida; Schistosomatidae.